This 414-nucleotide long non-coding RNA is filed under the name Nicotiana benthamiana. RNAcentral's name for it is "long non-coding RNA (NBEN_LNC023871)". The record is from RNAcentral. Lineage: Eukaryota; Viridiplantae; Streptophyta; Magnoliopsida; Solanales; Solanaceae.
AGGCAAAACCUGAUGAGGUAACGCUUGUGUGUACCCUAUCUGCGUGUGCUCAGUUGGGUGCAAUUGAUUUAGGUGGAUGGAUCCAUGUGUAUAUAAAGAAGCAAGGAAAAAAAUUAAAUUGUCACCUCACUACUGCACUGAUCGACAUGUAUUCCAAGUGCGGGGACGUGGAGAAAGCACUUGAGGUGUUCCAUUUAGUCAACGUGAGAGAUGUGUUUGUGUGGAGUGCUAUGAUUGCUGGCUUGUCAAUGCAUGGCGAAUAAAAUUAAAUUGUCACCUUAGUACUGCACUGAUCGACAUGUACUCCAAGUGUGGGGACGUAGAGAAAGCACUUGAGGUGUUCCAUUCAGUCAAAGUGAGAGAUGUGUUUGUGUGGAGUGCUAUGAUUGCUGGCUUGUCAAUGCAUGGGCGUGG